AUGCCAGGUGGGGCCCACACGUCGUUCUUCUUCCUCCUCUCUGUAUCUUUCUUUGGCAUUUUACCAAACACCUCAUGUGCAUCAUCCUAUGCUGCUUUCAGCCGGCGACCUGCCGCUCGUCGCGUGCAGCUUACACCACAGGGGCCACGGCUAGUCGGCAGCUUACACCACGUCCUGCUGUCGUGCUACGGCGACCUACCGCACCGGGCGCUGCGUGAGCUCGCCGGCAGGCACGGCCCUCUCAUGUUGCUUCGCUUCGGCGCGGUGCCCACGCUGGUCAUGUCCUCCGCCGAGGCGGCCAGGGAGCCGCGGUGGGCACGACAUCCUCUUCCCCCCUACGACGACCUGUGGCGCCAGCUCCGCCGGGUGUGCGUCCUCGAGCUCUUCAGCGCGUGCCGCGUCCAGUCCUUCCGCCACAUCCGCGAGGACGAGGCCGCCUGCCUGCUCCGCUCCGUCUCCGAGGAGUUCGCUCGCUCCGGCGACGCCGGCGCCGUCGUUGAGAGCGGCGAGGGGAUGUCCCGCAUGAUAAACAACGUCGUGGUGCGCUCGGCCGUCGGCAACCGCUGCCCGCGGCGCGACGAGUUCCUGCGUGAGAUCGAUGAGUCGGUGAAAUACAGAGAUACGGAGUUCCUGCGUGAGAUACAGAGAGGAGGAAGAAGAACGAUAUCUUGUCCUAACAAUCCUUCCUUCCAACCUCCUUCUCCUACGAUCGCCCAAAGUUCUACAACACCAGCACAAGUGGAUGAGUCUUUAUAUCAUACCCAAAUCACAUAUCUAUCUAAAGGAAAAGCAAAAGGAAGAAAAAGAAACAUGGAGAAGAAGCUGCUUCGGGUCAGUGCAAGAAAUAUAACUACCACAUCUAGGGCUAAAGAAGUCGUAAAAGUGCUGAAAAAUUCAGGUCAAGGGAAUGAACAUGUGCAGUUGGUUAAAAAUUCAAUUAAUGUAACUUAUGAGGAUCAGCAUCUAAUUGCAGAACCAAUAAUAAGCAACCAUACGCAAGUAGAAGAAGAACAUCAAGUUGAAGAAGAAGAUGAACAUGAAGCAGAUGAGUAUAAUUCUGAAUGCAACAGUGAUCAAAAUGAAACUGAUCCAGAGCAACAUUACCUACAAUGCAGUAGUGAUCAAAAUGAAACUAAUGCAGAGGAAGAUUACCUGGAAGAAAAUACAAUAAGUUGUGAUCAGUUCUGUGCAGAUCACGGGGAUUCAGAAUUGCACCAAAUAGAGCAGAGUUGGAACAAUUUUGAUUCAGUUAUUGAGCAAGAAAUGAUAAUAACUGAAAAAGAAGUAUUAGCACAUAGCAAUGAGGGAGCAUUGCAAGGUCCUGAUUACGCAGAAACAACAGAUACAGAUGGCACAAGUGGGAGUGAUGAAUCAGAGUUUGAAACAGAGCAACAACAAGAUGGAGAAACAGAAAAAAAACAAUUGUCACCUUGA
This 1434-nucleotide ribosomal RNA is filed under the name Triticum aestivum (bread wheat). RNAcentral describes it as "partial small subunit ribosomal RNA". Lineage: Eukaryota; Viridiplantae; Streptophyta; Magnoliopsida; Poales; Poaceae. The record is from RNAcentral.